UGAGGAAUAUUGGACAAUGGAUGGAAAUCUGAUCCAGCCAUGCCGCGUGGAGGAAGACGGCCCUAUGGGUUGUAAACUGCUUUUAUACGGGAGCAAUAAGGUCUACGUGUGGACUGAUGAGAGUACCGUAUGAAUAAGCAUCGGCUAACUCCGUGCCAGCAGCCGCGGUAAU
This 172-nucleotide ribosomal RNA is filed under the name uncultured Bacteroidota bacterium. RNAcentral's name for it is "uncultured Bacteroidetes bacterium partial 16S ribosomal RNA". It matches the Rfam family "Bacterial small subunit ribosomal RNA", at positions 355 to 524 of the family's 1533-position model. Lineage: Bacteria; Pseudomonadati; Bacteroidota. The record is from RNAcentral.